Molecule: ribosomal RNA, 407 nt
Filed under: uncultured microorganism
Description: bacterial SSU rRNA
Rfam family: Archaeal small subunit ribosomal RNA
Source: RNAcentral
GUGCACCAGGCGAGAAUACUUUACAAUGUGCGAAAGCACGAUAAGGGAACUCUGAGUGCCUCCUAAGGAGGCUGUUCAGGUGUCUAAAAGCACCUGAAGGAAGGGCUGGGUAAGACCGGUGCCAGCCGCCGCGGUAACACCGGCAGCCCAAGUGGUAGCCACGUUUAUUGGGUCUAAAGCGUCCGUAGCCGGCCGGGUAAGUUCCUUGGGAAAUUUGGCUGCUUAACAGUCAAGCUUUCAGGGAAUACUGCUCGGCUUGGGACCGGGAGAGGUCAGAGGUACUCCAGGGGUAGGGGUGAAAUCCAUUAAUCCUUGGGGGACCACCGGUAGCGAAGGCGUCUGACCAGACCGGGUCCGACGGUGAGGGACGAAGGCUAGGGGCGCGAACCGGAUUAGAUACCCCCGUA